RNAcentral lists this non-coding RNA (29 nucleotides) under Mus musculus (house mouse). Lineage: Eukaryota; Metazoa; Chordata; Mammalia; Rodentia; Muridae. The record is from RNAcentral.
UAGAUGCAUUCUGAGUCCUGAUCCUGACC